Molecule: ribosomal RNA, 112 nt
Organism: Mustela putorius furo (domestic ferret)
Lineage: Eukaryota; Metazoa; Chordata; Mammalia; Carnivora; Mustelidae
Source: Ensembl
GUCUACGGCCAUACCACCCUGAACACGCCCAAUCUCGUCUGAUCUCGGAAGCUAAGCAGGGUCGGGCCUGGUUAGUACUUGGAUGGGAGAUAAUAUUCAUGGGCUAUAUUUG